Molecule: ribosomal RNA, 645 nt
Filed under: uncultured Bacteroidota bacterium
Lineage: Bacteria; Pseudomonadati; Bacteroidota
Description: bacterial SSU rRNA
Rfam family: Bacterial small subunit ribosomal RNA
Source: RNAcentral
UCGAGGGGUAUGUUUCUUCGGAGACAGAGACCGGCGCACGGGUGCGUAACGCGUAUGCAAUCUGCCUUUCACAAAGGGAUAGCCCAGAGAAAUUUGGGUUAAUACCUUAUAGUAUAAUUGAGUGGCAUCAUUUAAUUAUUAAAGAUUUAUCGGUGAAAGAUGAGCAUGCGUCCCAUUAGCUAGUUGGUAAGGUAACGGCUUACCAAGGCGACGAUGGGUAGGGGUCCUGAGAGGGAGAUCCCCCACACUGGUACUGAGACACGGACCAGACUCCUACGGGAGGCAGCAGUGAGGAAUAUUGGACAAUGGGCGCAAGCCUGAUCCAGCCAUGCCGCGUGCAGGAUGAAGCAUCUAUGGUGUGUAAACUGCUUUUAUACGGGAAGAAGCCCCGCCUCGUGAGGCGGACUGACGGUACCGUAAGAAUAAGGACCGGCUAACUCCGUGCCAGCAGCCGCGGUAAUACGGAGGGUCCAAGCGUUAUCCGGAAUCAUUGGGUUUAAAGGGUCCGUAGGCGGCCCGAUAAGUCAGCGGUGAAAUCUCCCGGCUCAACCGGGAAAUGGCCAUUGAUACUGUCGGGCUUGAAUUAUUGGGAAGUAACUAGAAUAUGUAGUGUAGCGGUGAAAUGCUUAGAGAUUACAUGGAGUA